GAUGAACGCUAGCUACAGGCUUAACACAUGCAAGUCGAGGGGAAACGACAUCGAAAGCUUGCUUUUGAUGGGCGUCGACCGGCGCACGGGUGAGUAACGCGUAUCCAACCUGCCCGUCACUUGGGGAUAACCUUGCGAAAGUAAGACUAAUACCCGAUGAUAUCCCUAGAAGACAUCUGAAAGGGAUUAAAGAUUUAUCGGUGAUGGAUGGGGAUGCGUCUGAUUAGCUUGUUGGCGGGGUAACGGCCCACCAAGGCAACGCUCAGUAGGGGUUCUGAGAGGAAGGUCCCCCACAUUGGAACUGAGACACGGUCCAAACUCCUACGGGAGGCAGCAGUGAGGAAUAUUGGUCAAUGGGCGAGAGCCUGAACCAGCCAAGUAGCGUGCAGGAUGACGGCCCUAUGGGUUGUAAACUGCUUUUAUAAGGGAAUAAAGUGAGUCUCGUGAGACUUUUUGCAUG
RNAcentral lists this ribosomal RNA (460 nucleotides) under uncultured bacterium. RNAcentral's name for it is "bacterial SSU rRNA". It matches the Rfam family "Bacterial small subunit ribosomal RNA", at positions 28 to 475 of the family's 1533-position model. The record is from RNAcentral.